RNAcentral lists this ribosomal RNA (253 nucleotides) under uncultured bacterium. Its description in RNAcentral is "partial 16S ribosomal RNA". It matches the Rfam family "Bacterial small subunit ribosomal RNA", at positions 524 to 776 of the family's 1533-position model. The record is from RNAcentral.
UACGUAUGGUGCAAGCGUUAUCCGGAUUUACUGGGUGUAAAGGGAGCGUAGGCGGCGCGUUAAGUCUGAUGUGAAAACCCGAGGCUCAACCACGGGAGUGCAUUGGAAACUGGCGUGCUGGAGUGCCGGAGAGGUAAGCGGAAUUCCUAGUGUAGCGGUGAAAUGCGUAGAUAUCAGGAGGAACACCGGUGGCGAAGGCGGCUUACUGGACCAUAACUGACGUUGAGGCUCGAAAGCGUGGGGAGCGAACAGG